RNAcentral lists this small RNA (63 nucleotides) under Helianthus annuus (common sunflower). The record is from RNAcentral. Lineage: Eukaryota; Viridiplantae; Streptophyta; Magnoliopsida; Asterales; Asteraceae.
CACUGAUCGGGAGUUGUGGGUACUCCCCUGAUGAGUUUAUGACAAUACAAUACAAAACCAUUG